RNAcentral lists this unclassified non-coding RNA (224 nucleotides) under plant metagenome. RNAcentral describes it as "partial contains small subunit ribosomal RNA, internal transcribed spacer 1, and 5.8S ribosomal RNA". The record is from RNAcentral.
UUUCCGUAGGUGAACCUGCGGAAGGAUCAUUAAAGAAUCGCCCCGUUUUUUAUAAAUGGGUUCUAUUCCCAAACCGUGUAUACAUACCUUUGUUGCUUUGGCAGGCCGCCUCCGGGCGUCGGCUCCGGCUGAUAGUGCCUGCCAGAGGACCAAAACUCUGUGUUUAGUGAUGUCUGAGUACUAUAUAAUAGUUAAAACUUUCAACAACGGAUCUCUUGGUUCUG